GACAGAGGGUGCAAACGUUGUUCGGAAUUACUGGGCGUAAAGCGCGUGUAGGUGGCGAGGCAAGUCGGGUGUGAAAGCCCUGGGCUCAACCCAGGAAGUGCACUCGAUACUGCCUAGCUAGAGUCCCGGAGAGGUUGGUGGAACUCUCGGUGUAGAGGUGAAAUUCGUAGAUAUCGAGAAGAACACCGGUGGCGAAGGCGGCCAACUGGACGGUGACUGACACUGAGACGCGAAAGCGUGGGAGCAAACAGGG
This 253-nucleotide ribosomal RNA is filed under the name uncultured bacterium. Its description in RNAcentral is "partial 16S ribosomal RNA". It matches the Rfam family "Bacterial small subunit ribosomal RNA", at positions 524 to 777 of the family's 1533-position model. The record is from RNAcentral.